GGGUCCCCAGCCCCCAUGGGGGAUACAGCCUCCAUCCAGAAGCCGUCCGUCUUCCCCUUGCACUCCUGCUGCAGCGAGCCCACCUCCGUGUCGCUGGGCUGCCUGGUCACAGGCUACUUCCCAGAGCCAGUGACUGUGACCUGGGACACAGGCUCCCUGAAUGUGAGCACCCUGAACUUCCCCACCGCCAAACUCAGCUCCGGCCUCCUGGCCAGAACCAGCCAGGUGACCGUGUCCAGCACAGAGGAGUGGGCCAGGAGGAAUUUCACCUGCAGCGUGGGCCAUGCUCCAUCGUCGACAUCCCAGGUCAACAAGACCGUCCAAGGUUGCUUGCUCUCCAACUUCACCGGCCUCGAUGUGACGCUCUUCCACUCAUCCUGUGACCCCAGUGGAUCUCACUCCAUCAUCCAGCUCUAUUGCCUCAUUUCUGGCUACACCCCGGGUGACCUCGUGGUCACUUGGCUGAAGGACAAGAAGACACUCUUAAAAACGGCCUCAUCCAUUGCCCCACCCACGCAGGAAGGCAAGCUGGCCUCCACCCACAGCAAGAUCAACAUCACCCAGGAAGACUGGAUGUCAGAGAGCAUCUUCACGUGCCAGGUCACAACCCACGGCUCCAACUACCAGGCCCAUGCCCAGAAGUGCACAGGUGACGAGCCACGAGGGAUAAUUACCUACCUGAUCCCGCCCAGCCCUCUGGACCUGUACGUCCGCACAGCGCCCAAGCUCACCUGUCUGGUGGUAGACCUGGAAAGCAAAGAGGGCGUGACAGUGGUCUGGACCCGGGACAGCCAGAAGCCAGUGACCUCCGACCCCUGGGAGGCCAACAAGCAGCUCAACGCUACAUUCAGCAUCGUCUCCACCCUGCCAGUGGACGCCAAGGACUGGAUCGAUGGCGAAACCUACCGCUGCACGGUGACACACCCUGAGCUGCCCAAGCCCAUCGUUCGGUCCAUCACCAAGGCCCCCGGCAAGCGCAUGGCCCCCGAGGUCUACGUGUUCCUGCCACCUGAGGAGCAAGGGAGCCAGGACAAGCUCACCCUCACCUGCCUGGUCCAGAACUUCUUCCCCGUGGACAUCUCGGUGCAGUGGCUUCGCAACGGGCAGAUCCACAAUGACCAGCACAGCACCACAGCGCCCCUCAAGACCAACACCUCCCACCCCUCCUUCUUCAUCUUCAGCCGCCUAGAGAUCACCCAGGCAGACUGGGCGCUGAAUACCAAGUUCACCUGCCGCGUGGUCCACGAGGCACUUCCUGGCCGGAGAACCCUCGAGAAAACCGUGUUCAAGAGCCCUGAGCUAGACCUGCAGGACCUGUGCACAGAGGAGCUGGAGAGUGCCGAGCUGGAUGGGCUGUGGACCAGCACCUGUGUUUUCAUCUCCCUGUUCCUGCUCAGUGUGAGCUACGGUGCCACCAUCACCCUCUUCAAGAGCUGCGGAGCACACCCCAGGCCCUGCACGACUACGCCAACAUCCUCCAUCCGGGGGCCUAGCCAGGACACCCCGCCACGCAGCCGGGCCUCCGCGUCUGAGCCUCCUGGGGCUGCGGCUCUGCCCAGGUGGGAUGAGGGAGCAGACCCACCCUGUCAGGGCCAGGGCUGGGGCCCAAGUACCAGCGCACCAGAGUCCAGAACGUUCCUCAGCCCCAAGGUUCCCCAAGACAGCCCAUCAAUCACAGACCUCACCCACUCUGAGACCAGCCCAGAACAGCGUCUGGCCCUUCGGCAGAGGGCUCCUGGCCGCAGGAUGGGCGCUGACCGCCGGGACUCACCCAGGCCCACAGUCCUCAGGAUGGCCCCCAACAACCAGAAAACGCACUGAGGCCCAGAGCCAUGGUCCCCACCACGGGAGGCAGCCAGCCCAGUCCCCUGGGCUGGGCAGAGGGGUCCCACAGCCUGGAGAGGGGUCCCCUCCUGCCCACAGCCUCGUCCACCUCCACCUGGCAGUCCUGUUCCCACCCAGGCUUCUCAGUAAAGCUCCUUCCAUGGC
Molecule: non-coding RNA, 1989 nt
Organism: Marmota flaviventris (yellow-bellied marmot)
Lineage: Eukaryota; Metazoa; Chordata; Mammalia; Rodentia; Sciuridae
Source: the annotation of a RefSeq genome assembly